UAGGGAAUCUUCCACAAUGGACGCAAGUCUGAUGGAGCAACGCCGCGUGAGUGAAGAAGGUUUUCGGAUCGUAAAGCUCUGUUGUUGGUGAAGAAGGAUAGAGGUAGUAACUGGCCUUUAUUUGACGGUAAUCAACCAGAAAGUCACGGCUAACUACGUGCCAGCAGCCGCGGUAAUACGUAGGUGGCAAGCGUUGUCCGGAUUUAUUGGGCGUAAAGCGAGCGCAGGCGGAAGAAUAAGUCUGAUGUGAAAGCCCUCGGCUUAACCGAGGAAAUGCAUCGGAAACUGUUGUUCUUGAGUGCAGAAGAGGAGAGUGGAAUUCCAUGUGUAGCGGUGGAAUGCGUAGAUAUAUGGAAGAACACCAGUGGCGAAGGCGACUCUCUGGUCUGCAACUGACGCUGAGGCUCGAAAGCAUGGGUAGAGAACAGG
Molecule: ribosomal RNA, 429 nt
Filed under: bacterium
Lineage: Bacteria
Description: partial 16S ribosomal RNA
Rfam family: Bacterial small subunit ribosomal RNA
Source: RNAcentral